GUGAGGAAUUUUCCGCAAUGGGCGAAAGCCUGACGGAGCAAUGCCGCGUGAAGGAUGAAGGCCUAUGGGUUGUAAACUUCUUUUCUCAGAAAAGAAUUAUGACGGUAUCUGAGGAAUAAGCAUCGGCUAACUCUGUGCCAGCAGCCGCGGUAAGACAGAGGAUGCAAGCGUUAUCCGGAAUGAUUGGGCGUAAAGCGUCUGUAGGUUGUUUAAAAAGUAUUCUGUCAAAGAUUAGUGCUUAACCCUAGAUAGGCAGAAUAAACUUUUAAGCUAGAGUUUGGUAGAGGCAGAGGGAAUUCCCGGUGGAGCGGUGAAAUGCGUAGAUAUCGGGAGGAACACCAAAGGCGAAGGCACUCUGCUGGGCCAAUACUAACACUGAGAGACGAAAGCGAGGGGAGCAAAUGGGAUUAGAAACCCGUGUAGUCC
RNAcentral lists this ribosomal RNA (426 nucleotides) under uncultured bacterium. Its description in RNAcentral is "partial 16S ribosomal RNA". It matches the Rfam family "Bacterial small subunit ribosomal RNA", at positions 354 to 796 of the family's 1533-position model. The record is from RNAcentral.